Molecule: long non-coding RNA, 1012 nt
Filed under: Prunus persica (peach)
Lineage: Eukaryota; Viridiplantae; Streptophyta; Magnoliopsida; Rosales; Rosaceae
Description: long non-coding RNA (PPER_LNC003348)
Source: RNAcentral
AAACUUUUUAUUUUGUACUAAGAUGGUCCAUCCGUCAAAGUCUGUGUAUUAUUCCGUUAAAUCGAGGAACAAAACCGUAUUUUUAGGUGAGUAUCCUCUUCUAAAACGACCAAGCCACUGUAAUAUCACAUUCCCUCCCAUUUAUGUUAGAAGCUCCACCAAAACCCCCAAAUUAGAACCCUAGGUUUGCAAUGUCGGAGAUUUCAACGACCUCAAGUGGGACGAGUAGGUACUGCGCCUGUGGGACGAAGAUAAUUCGUCGGACUUCGUGGACAGAUUUGAACCCAGGAAGAAGGUUCGAUGCUUGUGAUAAAAAUUGGGUAAGUUAUUAUUUGGGUUGCAAAAGUUGUUCUUUUCCAUUUGUAAUUGCUUGAUAAGGUCUGAAAUUGGGUAAGAUUUGAUUUGCCAUAAUAGCAGAAGAUGUAUGCAUUAUUUCGAGUGGGUGGAUAAUGAAACUUGUCCAAGAGGAAAACAAGUGGUCCCUGGUUUGCUUAGAAGACUUAGAGCAAUGGAGGAGGAAAGUAGAGCAAAGGAAGAACAUGAGAGCUAUGGAAACAAAAAAGAAAGAACUGCAGCAGAAAUUGAAAGAAAUGGUUCAGGAAAAAAAGGUUUUGGAAUGGGGUCAUGGGCAAAGACAAUUGAUAAUGUGGGUUUCUUUGAUUUUGUCGUGGGGUUUGUUUAUAACAUUUGUGAUGAGUGGGAAGUUGUAAUUGUUAUGGGUUUGUUCCUUUGAAUGUAAUGGUUCUAAAAUGUGCAUUAGUGUUUUGAAAUGUGCAUUAGUGUCCCUUGAAUGUGCAUUAGUGUUCUGAAAUUUUCUUGAAUUGAGGUUAGUUGAAUAUCUGGGAGAUGUCAUUCCAUUGAGUACAACAAAUUAAAAGUCAUUCCAUUCUUGACCACAUAGGCAAUUUACAAAAUGAACAUCCAUAUAAACAUUUGAAUUCCAAUUACAAAGCUUGAGCCCUUGAAACUCAAGACCAGUUAGACCAAUUAUAGAAUUCCAAUUACAAAAUGC